RNAcentral lists this ribosomal RNA (735 nucleotides) under uncultured Fusobacterium sp. Its description in RNAcentral is "bacterial SSU rRNA". It matches the Rfam family "Bacterial small subunit ribosomal RNA", at positions 28 to 776 of the family's 1533-position model. The record is from RNAcentral. Lineage: Bacteria; Fusobacteriati; Fusobacteriota; Fusobacteriia; Fusobacteriales; Fusobacteriaceae.
GAUGAACGCUGACAGAAUGCUUAACACAUGCAAGUCAACUUGAAUUUGGGUUUUUAACUUAGAUUUGGGUGGCGGACGGGUGAGUAACGCGUAAAGAACUUGCCUCACAGCUAGGGACAACAUUUAGAAAUGAAUGCUAAUACCUGAUAUUAUGAUUUUAAGGCAUCUUAGAAUUAUGAAAGCUAUAAGCACUGUGAGAGAGCUUUGCGUCCCAUUAGCUAGUUGGAGAGGUAACAGCUCACCAAGGCGAUGAUGGGUAGCCGGCCUGAGAGGGUGAACGGCCACAAGGGGACUGAGACACGGCCCUUACUCCUACGGGAGGCAGCAGUGGGGAAUAUUGGACAAUGGACCGAGAGUCUGAUCUAGCAAUUCUGUGUGCACGAUGAAGUUUUUCGGAAUGUAAAGUGCUUUCAGUUGGGAAGAAAAAAAUGACGGUACCAACAGAAGAAGUGACGGCUAAAUACGUGCCAGCAGCCGCGGUAAUACGUAUGUCACGAGCGUUAUCCGGAUUUAUUGGGCGUAAAGCGCGUCUAGGUGGUUAUGUAAGUCUGAUGUGAAAAUGCAGGGCUCAACUCUGUAUUGCGUUGGAAACUGUAUAACUAGAGUACUGGAGAGGUAAGCGGAACUACAAGUGUAGAGGUGAAAUUCGUAGAUAUUUGUAGGAAUGCCGAUGGGGAAGCCAGCUUACUGGACAGAUACUGACGCUAAAGCGCGAAAGCGUGGGUAGCAAACAGG